AGCCGCCGCGGUAACACCGGCAGCUCUAGUGGUAGCCAUUUUAUUGGGCCUAAAGCGUUCGUAGCCGGUUGAUAAGUCUCUGGUGAAAUCCUGUAGCUUAACUGUGGGAAUUGCUGGAGAUACUAUUAGACUUGAGGUCGGGAGAGGUUAGCGGUACUCCCAGGGUAGGGGUGAAAUCCUGUAAUCCUGGGAGGACCACCUGUGGCGAAGGCGGCUAACUGGAACGAACCUGACGGUGAGGGACGAAAGCCAGGGGCGCGAACCGGAUUAGAUACCCGGGUAGUCCUGGCCGUAACGAUGUGGACUUGGUGUUGGGAUGGCUUCGAGCUGUUUCAGUGCCGAAGGGAAGCUGUUAAGUCCACCGCCUGGGAAGUACGGUCGCAAGACUGAACUUAAAGGAAUUGGCGGGGGAGCACCACAACGCGUGGAGCCUUGCGGUUUAAUUGGAUUCAACGCCGGACAUCUCACCAGGAGCGACAGCCGUAUGAUAGCCAGGUUGAUGACCUUGCUUGACAAGCUGAGGAGAGGUGCAUGG
This 535-nucleotide ribosomal RNA is filed under the name uncultured archaeon. RNAcentral describes it as "bacterial SSU rRNA". It matches the Rfam family "Archaeal small subunit ribosomal RNA", at positions 460 to 997 of the family's 1478-position model. The record is from RNAcentral.